Molecule: ribosomal RNA, 774 nt
Filed under: uncultured Neocallimastigales
Lineage: Eukaryota; Fungi; Neocallimastigomycota; Neocallimastigomycetes; Neocallimastigales
Description: partial large subunit ribosomal RNA
Rfam family: Eukaryotic large subunit ribosomal RNA
Source: RNAcentral
UAUGUGAUCGUCUCUCGCAUAUCAAUAAGCGGAGGAAAAGAAACUAACAAGGAUUCCCCUAGUAACGGCGAGUGAAGCGGGAAGAGCUCAAAUUUGAAAUCUUAAAGGGUUUCCCUUUACGAAUUGUAGUUUAAAGAAGUGUUUUCUGUUGAGGUUUUGGUAAAAGUUCUUUGGAAUAGGACAUCAUAGAGGGUGAGAAUCCCGUAUUUGACCUUUACUUUCAACUUUGUGAUACACUUUCAAAGAGUCCGGAUUGUUUGGGAAUGCAGUCCAAAAUGGGUGGUAAAUUUCAUCUAAAGCUAAAUAUUGGCGAGAGACCGAUAGCGAACAAGUACCGUGAGGGAAAGAUGAAAAGAACUUUGAAAAGAGAGUUAAACAGUACGUGAAAUUGUCAAAAGGGAAGCGUUUGACACCAGUGUUGUUUUUCUGAAAAUCAAUUAAAGAACUGUUUAUGCUAAGCUGUUUAGACUUUAUCAGCUAACUGUUUAGUUUUGAGCUUUUCUUUAAUGCACUUUUCAGUUAACAAGUCAACAUCAAUUUCUUUUGCUGUAAAAAAGCUUGAGGAAGGUGGCUUGAGAUUCGUCUUAAGUGUUUAUAGCCUCUUGCCUAUGCAGUCGGAGAGAUUGAGGUCUGCAGCGUAGAUCCUUCGGGGCUAAAUGCAUUUGUGCUAAGUUAUAGCAUUUUAUAGACAACUUGUUGACUAUGAUUUGUCUUGUAGCUUACUCGCUUAUGUUAUUUUACCUACGCUUAGGAUGUUGACUGAUAUGUAGUCGU